UGGUCCUACGGGGGGCAGCAGUGGGGGAAAUUGCACAAUGGGGGAAACCCUGAAGCAGCAACGCCGCGUGGAGGAUGAAGGUUUUCGGAUUGUAAACUCCUUUUGUUAGAGAAGAUAAUGACGGUAUCUAACGAAUAAGCACCGGCUAACUCCGUGCCAGCAGCCGCGGUAAUACGGAGGGUGCAAGCGUUACUCGGAAUCACUGGGCGUAAGGAGCGCGUAGGCGGGAUAGCAAGUCAGAUGUGAAAUCCUAUGGCUUAACCAUAGAACUGCAUGUGAAACUGUUAUUCUAGAGUAUGGUAGAG
Molecule: ribosomal RNA, 305 nt
Filed under: uncultured bacterium
Lineage: Bacteria
Description: bacterial SSU rRNA
Rfam family: Bacterial small subunit ribosomal RNA
Source: RNAcentral